ACGGCUAUGGUGAAAUUGGUAAACGCACCACACUUAGGAUGUGGCGGUCUUUGACUUUGUGGGUUCAAAUCCCUCUAGCCGUA
Molecule: transfer RNA, 83 nt
Filed under: Gonatozygon brebissonii
Lineage: Eukaryota; Viridiplantae; Streptophyta; Zygnematophyceae; Desmidiales; Gonatozygaceae
Description: tRNA-Leu
Rfam family: tRNA
About the family: Transfer RNA (tRNA) molecules are approximately 80 nucleotides in length. Their secondary structure includes four short double-helical elements and three loops (D, anti-codon, and T loops). Further hydrogen bonds mediate the characteristic L-shaped molecular structure. tRNAs have two regions of fundamental functional importance: the anti-codon, which is responsible for specific mRNA codon recognition, and the 3' end, to which the tRNAs corresponding amino acid is attached (by aminoacyl-tRNA synthetases). tRNAs cope with the degeneracy of the genetic code in two manners: having more than one tRNA (with a specific anti-codon) for a particular amino acid; and 'wobble' base-pairing, i.e. permitting non-standard base-pairing at the 3rd anti-codon position.
Source: RNAcentral